This 107-nucleotide small nuclear RNA is filed under the name Erinaceus europaeus (western European hedgehog). Lineage: Eukaryota; Metazoa; Chordata; Mammalia; Eulipotyphla; Erinaceidae. The record is from RNAcentral.
GUGCUCGCUUUGGCAGCACAUAUACUAAAAUUGGAACGAUACAGAGAAGAUUAGCAUGGCCCCUGCACAAGGAUGAUAUGCAAAUCCGUGAAGUGUUCCAUAUUUUU